UCUUUGGUCAUUUAGAGGAAGUAAAAGUCGUAACAAGGUUUCCGUAGGUGAACCUGCGGAAGGAUCAUUACAAAUGUCUGGGAUGUCCUAUUGGACCCCCAAACAAACACAUCUAUGUGUACUCUGCCAUGUUGCUUCCCCAGACCAGUGGCCACUGCUGCCAGCCCAGCCCCUAAUUGGUUCCCGGGUUGAGGUGUCUGGGGAAGGGCUCAAUAUCAAACUUUUCAACAUAUUAGUCGUCUGAGAAGGCCAUGUGCCGCAAUAUUUAACCAAGUUAAAACUUUCAACAACGGAUCUCUUGGCUCUCGCAUCGAUGAAGAACGCAGCGAAAUGCGAUAAGUAAUGUGAAUUGCAGAAUUCAGUGAAUCAUCGAAUCUUUGAACGCACAUUGCGCCCUUUGGUAUUCCUUAGGGCAUGCCUGUUCGAGCGUCACUAAAAACCAACUCACAUAUCAUGUGGUAUUGGUAGAAGUGGAUAGUACUAACACUACUUUGUCUUACUCUGCUGAAAUGAAUAGGCCAGAAAAGUGGACCAUGGUAAUAGAUUCCAGGAGUGUUUUAAAAUGCUAUACUAGUCUUAUCCAAGUCAUAUUCUGAGCCACUGGACCCCCCAUUUAGUCCAAACAACAGAGGUUUGACCUCGGAUCAGGUAGGGAUACCCGCUGAACUUAAGCAUAUCAAUAAGCGGAGG
RNAcentral lists this ribosomal RNA (690 nucleotides) under Tuber sp. P-11-3-18. Its description in RNAcentral is "eukaryotic LSU rRNA". The stretch from base 279 to 432 matches the Rfam family "5.8S ribosomal RNA". Lineage: Eukaryota; Fungi; Ascomycota; Pezizomycetes; Pezizales; Tuberaceae. The record is from RNAcentral.